Molecule: long non-coding RNA, 2389 nt
Filed under: Lupinus angustifolius (narrow-leaved blue lupine)
Lineage: Eukaryota; Viridiplantae; Streptophyta; Magnoliopsida; Fabales; Fabaceae
Description: long non-coding RNA (LANG_LNC003513)
Source: RNAcentral
UUUUGAUAUCCUUUGCGCUCAUUCAUUACAACUUUGCAAUGGUAAAAGUCUGCAAAAGUAAUACAAUACACUUCAUUUAAAAAAAAUAUAAAUAACAAUUAAUCGACAGAUUCAUUAGAACAUUUGUGGAAUAUUUGAAGAUAUAUGGGCCUCUACUUUCACCUAACUUGUGAAAGUCAUGUUUUCCCAACAAUUGAUACAACACAUGGUUCUUUCCACUAAAAUAAUUUAUAUGUCCAUCUCAUCGCACUAUAAUAAAAUUUCUCUUUUAAGCUUGAAUGUAAUCACUUCUAUGUAGAAGUUUAAUGAUAAAAAUAAAAUAAUGUAGUUAAUUAUUUUAUCUAUGUAGAAGUUUAAUAAUAAAAAUAAAAUAAUCUAGUUAAUUAUUUUCAACUUUCAACAAUACAUAUGAAUAAAAAAAUAACAAAGGAAGUAGUGUAUAUUGUAUUUUCUUUCUAAUUACAUUGACUAUUAUUAUUAUUAGGUAAAUAUACAUUGACUUAGAAAAAAUAAUUGAGUCAUCAUUUAAUCUGUGAUGUUGAACAGGUUAUUGUAUCAAGCAUCUUAAUUGUUAGAAAUGCUAUCAAAACAAAAAUUAUACUCUAAAAUGCUUGCAUGAUCUCAUAUUCAUUGGAAAACAAAAUAUGUAAGUGGUGACUCCAGAAAUGUAUGAGGAUAAUAUUUUGGUUAUCAACUAUGUACGUAGUAAUAAAAUAAAAAUUAUGAAGCUUCAAGUAGAAAAUUAAACCACUAAUGGUCAAGGCACAACCAAUAAGCACAUCAGAGGUUUGUGAAAAAAAUGUGUAUACCUCUGCAUAUAUAUUCAUGGGUGUUGUCUCUUCAUGCGGCAGGUGAAGUAGUUGAUCAAAUAUGUUUUGUGCUCACUUUUUUAUAAACUACAUCAAAUUUCAAAUAAGAUAGAUAAAAUGUAACUGCCAUGAAAAAAUCAGAGAGGAGAUAAAUUUCUCUGAUGUAGUAGAGAGAGGAAAUAUAGAUUAAGAGUAAAUUGAAAGAGCCUUUGGUUAUUGAGGUAUAGUUAUUAGCAAGCACAAUAUAUGAAAUUAAAAACUACUCCAUCUCGGUGGUUAGAACAUGUUUUCCCUUUAUGUAGUGGUAUAGAUAAAAGAGAACAUAUAAACUUCAAGUAAGGAUACCUUAACUUUCCAAAUUAUUGUUACCUGACUUAAGACACCUGUCAUUUAAAUGUAGAGAAAGUUACUGUUAGGAGGCUUAAAUUCCAACUAAAAGUCAAUCAAGAUUAUAAAAAUGUAUUAUAUGGUACUAAAAUUGGCUACAAAUAAGAAAUAAGUUGGUAUCAUUUAUAUAAAUAACCAUAUAUAAAAUAUAUGAAGCAUACAUGCACAAUCAAAUACCAUCAAAGAAUUUACUCACUUUUGCCUCAUUGUAACAUGGGCCUAAUCGGAUAUGCAGAAAGCCUAUCUUUUAGAAAAAAGAAAGGAGGAGAUAUAACAAUCAAAAUAUCAGUAGGACAAAAAAAGAUAAAAAAUAGAGGACAAAAAAAGGCAAAAGAAGAACACAAUCCUUAUUUAGAUUAUAAGCUAAUGCAAUGUAACUAAGGGCAGAGGAGUAAUAUGAAAGGUGAAGGAGAUGUAAACACCAACAAUACCAAUAUACAUAAUAACUCUAAAGGUUGAAAUGAUUCCACAAAAUUUAUUCCUACCCAUCCUUCAUAUUAUUGACAAAUUCUGUAUACCUAAGCCAACAUCCCCUCCUAAACAUGUCAAGAUAGAAGGCUUAGGUUUUGACAUUUCUUCCUUUAAGUGGCUUAUAUUCUGGAGUAUUUUACAUUUUAUCAAUGCUGAAAUUUUGGUUUUAGCUAUUUGUAUGUCCAUGUUUUAUGAAGCGUAAACACAUUAUAAAACUAACAAUUAUUUUAUGUUAGGAUGCAUGUUUCAACAAUUACGAAACUAAAAAUUAUAAAUUAAAUUAAAUUUCAGCAAACAUAAAAAUUUAAAGAUAUGUUAAAGAAAGCUUGACAAUAACUUUCUUAAUAAGAUGCAAAUCAUAAACACGUUUGUUUUAGUGAAUAUUUGGCAUUUCAUCGAACAUAAUGGAAGCAAAGUAUGAAAAACUUAUAAAUUUAAGGAUAUGUUAGAAAAGGUUGACAGUAACCCUCUCAAAAAAUAUAAAGCAUAAACACAAACCAUCUUAGUGUCACUUUGGCAUCUUUGAACAGAAUGUAAGCGAAGAGAAAAAUAUGAUAAGAGUGUGUAGGCAUGAAAUUAAUAGAAGGUAAGCCAAUUAUAAACAAAUGAGCGACAAUAUAUUUGAAUACAACACAUAGUGUGUACCUCAUAUUUAUUAAUACAUCUCAAAAAAAUUGUUGGAAGAGUGAAUGACGGAAAAUUGAAUCAAAUGAACACAUGUG